UACAGAGGGUGCAAGCGUUAGUCGGAGUUACUGGGCGUAAAGGGCGUGUAGGCGGAUAUUUUAGUCAAUUGUGAAAUCCCUGGGCUUAACCUGGGAAUUGCAGUUGAUACUGAAUGUCUAGAGUAUGGUAGAGGAAAGUGGAAUUCUCGGUGUAGUGGUUAAAUACGUAGAUAUCGAGAAGAACAUCAGUGGCGAAGGCGGCUUUCUGGACCAAUACUGACGCUGAGGCGCGAAAGCGUGGGGAG
RNAcentral lists this ribosomal RNA (245 nucleotides) under uncultured bacterium. Its description in RNAcentral is "partial 16S ribosomal RNA". It matches the Rfam family "Bacterial small subunit ribosomal RNA", at positions 524 to 768 of the family's 1533-position model. The record is from RNAcentral.